CAAACCUCCGUAACUACAGUGUUACUCAUAAAACACGACUUCUUUACCAAUUUGUACAAGCACUUUGACCUCUUGCCUUGGCACACAGGCUUGGAAGAUUUUUCAUCUUUAGCCCUUUUUAUGGUUUCAGCAGAAAUACUAUAAGAAAGUUUAUUUUGGGAGUACUUUUGAUCUAUCUCAAACAAGAAGCUGAGCUUGUGACCUUACAGGCAAAACUACUAUCGAUUGUCCAGCACAAUUGUUAGCUCUAAACCAAAACAAUUUCAGGUUGCGGUUUACUUCUGGUUUAAAUUUGGAACUAUUUUUACAUCAAGAAUUGGUGUUAUGUGUUUUUGACAAAGAUGAGAACAAAAUCUCUACUUGCAACAGCUUCCAUUCCUAAUAGAGAAAUGAGGCUUAUGCAAGCAUGCUGCAUGUGCCUGUAUCUCCAUGAGUUCCACACCCUGGUAUCUUUUGAACCUACUGACAAAUUUCAACCAACUCGCUCAAAAAACGUCAAGUUCAUACAAGUUUUAUGAAAAUAACCUACUGGACAGUGCUUUCACGGAGGGUUAGGCUGCAGUGCAAAGAGGCACCAUUUGAGAUGACAGAAACUCCACUUCUAAGAAAGUGUUUGUAAAAGUCUCACCAUGGGGAAAGUUUCAGCGAAAGCCUGUUACUUCCUUGGUUUGAAGUCAAUCAAGUCUGAUGCAGAGACCUUUCGGGAGCCAGGCUUCGUAGUACUGAUCUCCACAGCACAUGGGGAUGUUAUUUUGCGGUAAUGAUUUACCACCUAAACUACCUUUAAAGCAAAUGUUUGUUUCUUUUUUUUUUUUCCUUUAGGACCAAAAACUACCCAAUAGCCUUUCCUUUAAGACCAAGACAUUACUUUGUCCAUCACCCUAGAAGUCAGCUCUUGACCUUCAUCACUGUCACUUUUCUCCAUGGAUUCUGUGGGUUUAAAGUUACAGGAUUGUCGAAACAGAUAACAAAGUGCAGAAGGCUGAAAAGUGGCUGGGAUGAACCUUUAGGGACAAAGUUUAUCUGUUCGAGCAUUUCCUGUGUGUACUUUGAAACCUCUCAAUUGAACUUGAUCAAAGCACGAGCCGACACAUUUCAGCUACCUACUGAACAAACAAAUUUACUGCUUAUCAUUGUUGCCACCUCAGUCUUUAAUUUACUUUACUUAGUAAGCCAGUACAUGUUAAAUGAACAACCUGUUCAUCACAAAUGCUAGUUUCAGGUCUUAAAAAUAGGCUAUAGUUCACCUGACGUUAACAUAUACAGCAUAUCAUAGGCUCUCUCCUUCCCCAGAAACCCUAUAUAAAAGGAGGUUUAAGUCAUAUAUAGUCAGUGUGGAAAACAGUGGCCUCUUUGGGAUCACUAUAUCCAUCAACCUCCAUUGGAUUUUUUUUUUUUGGUAUAUAUAUAUCUCGGGCUUUGUCCUUUCUUUUUCAUUAACUACUGUAGGACAUAUGAGGACUGAGAAAUUAAUGGCAGUGUUCUUAAAAUGUGUUAGUUAACUCACACUAACAUAUUUCAAAACACAGUUUAGCACAUAUGGAUUGACAGAUCAUUUUAAACAUCGCUUUCUUUGUCAACAGUAGUAACUAAUACUUUUUUAAAUGUUCUGCUAGUUAGGGAAAAAAAUAAUUGUUUUUUUCCCCCAUGAAAAAAGUGUUUACUUAAAUUAAUAAUAAGAAAGAAAAUACUAUUGUGAAGUGUUGCAUCAAAGGAGCAUGGCCAGACAGCCUGGGCUGUAGAAAAUAAUGAAGUACGAUGACAGCCUUUCUUUUUUUAAUCUAAAACAAUUUGACCAAUGUUUUUAGUCAGUGUUCUAAAAUAUUUUGAUUGUUUCCCACGCAAAACUAUUGGCACAUAUUUUCCAGCUUAUGUGGCCUUCCUUAUUCUCAGGGAAAUGGAGUCCAAAUAUUUUGAUUUUAUUGAUAACUGCUCAUGGGCAAUAGCAUGUCAUCCCAGAACGAGAGCCAAUGAUGUGGCACAUUUAGAGAGGUUGCUCCUCCUUCAGGGAGCACCUGCAAGGGAAGCUGUUUAGCUCUAGGCCUCCAACCACGGGCCUUGCCCUGGCGUACACGUCCAGCGCACAUUGGGGCAGUGGGAAUGGGCCGACUGCGCGAGGAAGCUCCUACCAUCCCUCCAACACGUGUAUUUCUGGGCCUGCACUCCAAAUCGCAGCAGCAAAGUGUCCUGGGUUAGGGGAAAUAACGGAUGAAGCAACCAGCCUCCCGAACCAGCUUUGCUAUCAGAUCUUUACAUUACGGAUACUCUUACUCAUAAAACAAAAUAGAACAGGGUGUUUGGUACUGGUAGAUACAGGUAUAAAUUAUUCUUCAGAACUUCAAAUUGCGAUUACCAUUGUGAUUACUGCUGGAAGCUUGUUUCCUUCUUUCAAGUAAAAAUAAUAUCUUAAAACAUUCUGUAAACUCAGCUAUUAAACAUAAUGAAUUUUUAUUCUA
This is a non-coding RNA of Struthio camelus australis, 2456 nucleotides long. The record is from RefSeq and is a predicted model, not a curated record. NCBI's taxonomy places the organism in Eukaryota, Metazoa, Chordata, Aves, Struthioniformes, Struthionidae.